RNAcentral lists this transfer-messenger RNA (357 nucleotides) under bacterium. RNAcentral describes it as "QNEE01 sp003645085 Standard tmRNA". It matches the Rfam family "transfer-messenger RNA". From Rfam's summary of the family: Bacterial tmRNA, also known as 10Sa RNA or SsrA, is named for its dual tRNA and mRNA-like properties. The record is from RNAcentral.
GGGGGCGAACAGGAUUCGACGGUAGUCAGCGGACCGUGUUCUGCGCGCCGAGUUCCGGGAACUCGUAAAUAACCCGGAACCGCAAUAAGUGCGGACUAUGAUUAUGCACUGGCUGCCUAAAUAAGGUGGUCACGUCCACCGGAUGGUGUAGCUUCGAGCCGUCCGAAUGGGCGCCGCAACUCGAGGCGGCAAUGGUGAGGGUUCUCAGGCCGACCCGUUGCGCUAAUUAUCUGAGAUAGUCCGGGGAAAGCUAUGUAUGGCGGCGUUAACCGGGCGAAAAUAAAGGCUAUACUACGCGCGUAGACGGAUGCGGGGAGCGGUUAUCGGACCCGGGUUCGAUUCCCGGCGCCUCCAAAA